RNAcentral lists this ribosomal RNA (429 nucleotides) under Chloroflexota bacterium. RNAcentral describes it as "Chloroflexi bacterium partial 16S ribosomal RNA". It matches the Rfam family "Bacterial small subunit ribosomal RNA", at positions 355 to 776 of the family's 1533-position model. The record is from RNAcentral. Lineage: Bacteria; Bacillati; Chloroflexota.
UGGGGAAUAUUGCACAAUGGGCGCAAGCCUGAUGCAGCCAUGCCGCGUGUGUGAAGAAGGCCUUCGGGUUGUAAAGCACUUUCAGCGGGGAGGAAGGCGAUAAGGUUAAUAACCUUGUCGAUUGACGUUACCCGCAGAAGAAGCACCGGCUAACUCCGUGCCAGCAGCCGCGGUAAUACGGAGGGUGCAAGCGUUAAUCGGAAUUACUGGGCGUAAAGCGCACGCAGGCGGUCUGUCAAGUCGGAUGUGAAAUCCCCGGGCUUAACCUGGGAACUGCAUUCGAAACUGGCAGGCUAGAGUCUUGUAGAGGGGGGUAGAAUUCCAGGUGUAGAGGUGAAAUGCGUAGAGAUCUGGAGGAAUACCGGUGGCGAAGGCGGCCCCCUGGACAAAGACUGACGCUCAGGUGCGAAAGCGUGGGGAGCAAACAGG